UAGCUCAAUUGGUAGAGCAACUGACUUGUAAUCAGUAGGUUGGGGGUUCAAGUCCUCUGGCCGGCACCA
Molecule: transfer RNA, 69 nt
Filed under: Staphylococcus aureus subsp. aureus 21262
Lineage: Bacteria; Bacillati; Bacillota; Bacilli; Caryophanales; Staphylococcaceae
Description: tRNA-Thr
Rfam family: tRNA
About the family: Transfer RNA (tRNA) molecules are approximately 80 nucleotides in length. Their secondary structure includes four short double-helical elements and three loops (D, anti-codon, and T loops).
Source: RNAcentral